RNAcentral lists this long non-coding RNA (254 nucleotides) under Mytilus galloprovincialis (Mediterranean mussel). Lineage: Eukaryota; Metazoa; Mollusca; Bivalvia; Mytilida; Mytilidae. The record is from RNAcentral.
GUGUCAACAGAAAAAAAACAAAGAUCUACAUGUACUCGGACGGGACUACCUAUGCAGGCUACCACUAAUAUUCACUAGUGUCAACAGAAAAAAAAAGAUCUACAUGUACUCGGACGGGACUACCUAUGCAGGCUACCACUAAUAUUCACUAGUGUCAACAGAAAAAAAAAAGAUCUACAUGUACUCGACCGGGAUCAUCUAUGCAGACCACCAGUAAUAUCCUUUUGUGCUAAGAGAAACAAUUAAAGAUAUAC